RNAcentral lists this ribosomal RNA (758 nucleotides) under Leucostethus jota. RNAcentral describes it as "partial 16S ribosomal RNA". It matches the Rfam family "Bacterial large subunit ribosomal RNA", at positions 1479 to 2568 of the family's 2925-position model. Lineage: Eukaryota; Metazoa; Chordata; Amphibia; Anura; Dendrobatidae. The record is from RNAcentral.
AAAACUAGUAAUAAGAAGUCAGCCCUUCUCUUCAAUGCAAACUUACAUCAGCCAGGACAUCCCRCUGAUUUUUAACGCCCCUAAAAACAUUGUAAUAACUAAUCAAGAAAAUAUUACCCACCAUAACGUUAACCUAACACAAGAGCAUUUUAAGAAAGAUUAAAAGAAAAAGAAGGAACUCGGCAAAUAUUAGCCUCGCCUGUUUACCAAAAACAUCGCCUCUUGACUUAUUAUAAGAGGUCAUGCCUGCCCAGUGACUCUGUUCAACGGCCGCGGUAUCCUAACCGUGCGAAGGUAGCGUAAUCACUUGUUCUUUAAAUGAGGACUAGUAUGAAUGGCCCCACGAAGGCUACACUGUCUCCUUUUUCUAAUCAAUGAAACUAAUCUUCUCGUGAAGAAGCGAGAAUAAUUUUAUAAGACGAGAAGACCCUAUGGAGCUUUAAACAACUGAAAUAUUUGCUUUUAUAUUCCAUUCUCCAGAGUUUACUAUUACAUCCAAGCAUUUUAAUUUCUAGUUUUAGGUUGGGGUGACCACGGAGUAAAAUUCAACCUCCAUGACGAACUAAGCAUUUUUCCUCUAAGCCACAAGCUACCACUUUCAGCAUCAACAAAUUGACUUACAUUGACCCAAUAUUUUGAUCAACGAACCAAGUUACCCUAGGGAUAACAGCGCAAUCUACUUCAAGAGCUCAUAUCGACAAGUAGGUUUACGACCUCGAUGUUGGAUCAGGGUAUCCUAGUGGUGCAGCCGCUACUAA